CACUGACACUCACCACCCUGGCCCCAAGGCACGGGCAGGAGUGUUCUGUCAGCCAGGAAGUAUGCAAACUUAGGUAGCUACCCUGAGGACAACACGCAGUUUCUGUCAAAGAAAAUAAGGAUGAUGUCACACCAGCCGGAAUUGGGACUAUCCAUUCCAACUCUUUUCGCGAGGCCAACCACAGUUUCUCUCAGCCUUGGAGAAGAGAGCACGAGCACCCCCUCCUUCUGUCUCCCAAAUGCAAGGGUCUCUGAGGAAGGUUCUGUUUCAGGAUCAUCUUUACGAAAGCUUAAAUAUCAUGAUGUCUGCUUUUACCUGGUUACCUAGCAAUGGCAAUUCUACUCAUUCUCUUCACAGAAGGAACAAUGUUUCAGCUUCCUUAGCUAAGUGUGUUAUUAAAGAAACAUGAUCUCCCCUUCACCACUUAUGCUGGUGAGAAAUAAAGGAUACAUUUUGUAAGGGAAA
Mustela erminea (ermine) is the source of this 465-nucleotide long non-coding RNA. RefSeq lists it as uncharacterized. The record is from RefSeq and is a predicted model, not a curated record. NCBI's taxonomy places the organism in Eukaryota, Metazoa, Chordata, Mammalia, Carnivora, Mustelidae. The transcript has 2 exons.